UACGUAGGGUGCGAGCGUUAAUCGGAAUUACUGGGCGUAAAGCGUGCGCAGGCGGUUCUGUAAGUCUGGCGUGAAAUCCCCGGGCUUAACCUGGGAAUUGCGAUGGAGACUGCAAGGCUAGAAUCUGGCAGAGGGGGGUAGAAUUCCACGUGUAGCAGUGAAAUGCGUAGAGAUGUGGAGGAACACCGAUGGCGAAGGCAGCCCCCUGGGUCAAGAUUGACGCUCAUGCACGAAAGCGUGGGGAGCAAACAGG
This 253-nucleotide ribosomal RNA is filed under the name uncultured bacterium. RNAcentral describes it as "partial 16S ribosomal RNA". It matches the Rfam family "Bacterial small subunit ribosomal RNA", at positions 524 to 776 of the family's 1533-position model. The record is from RNAcentral.